GAAGCUAUAGCUCAGUGGUAGAGUGUAUGCUUAGCAUGCACGAGGUCCUGGGUUCAAUCCCCAGUACCUCCA
This 72-nucleotide transfer RNA is filed under the name Camelus bactrianus (Bactrian camel). It matches the Rfam family "tRNA". From Rfam's summary of the family: Transfer RNA (tRNA) molecules are approximately 80 nucleotides in length. The record is from Rfam by way of RNAcentral. Lineage: Eukaryota; Metazoa; Chordata; Mammalia; Artiodactyla; Camelidae. RNAcentral also lists the same sequence under 2 other names.